Molecule: unclassified non-coding RNA, 467 nt
Filed under: Hevea brasiliensis (rubber tree)
Lineage: Eukaryota; Viridiplantae; Streptophyta; Magnoliopsida; Malpighiales; Euphorbiaceae
Source: RNAcentral
GGCCUAACAGUCAAUUUUGGCCAAUACUUUACGCGAAUCAUCAAUUUUGGCCAAAACCUUUUUUUGUCCCUAUUUUUGCAAAUUAGACUCAAUUGUAGCCAAGAAGAAUUGGGUCUAGAGACACGCAUGUGACAGCUAAGUUAGCAUAAAAUAAUAAUAUUUAAAUAUGAGACAUAGUUAACCAUUAGUAUACCAUGUUAACAUCAUGAAAAAAGUCUGCAUUUUGGCCAAAACCAAAAUGCAAUAGUUCAAUUUUCUUCUCUUAAACAGAGAAUUCUUCAAAAUUCUAAAUUAAAAUCUUCUUGUUCUUAGGGUUCCUGCGCAAAGGAUAGUUAAUCAAGUCCAAGGUUCUUGCUAUGGCUUCUACGCAUAGCUAUUAAAGGCUCAAGGCACACCACGGCACCAAAGGGUUCUGAAGCCAAGCCACAAUGUACAGGCGCACACUAAGUGAGGUGAGGCACGAAAAU